Molecule: ribosomal RNA, 500 nt
Filed under: uncultured bacterium
Lineage: Bacteria
Description: partial 16S ribosomal RNA
Rfam family: Bacterial small subunit ribosomal RNA
Source: RNAcentral
AUUGAACGCUGGCGGCAUGCCUUACACAUGCAAGUCGAACGGCAGCACGGGAGCAAUCCUGGUGGCGAGUGGCGAACGGGUGAGUAAAGUAUCGGAACGUGCCCAGUCGUGGGGGAUAACGUAGCGAAAGUUACGCUAAUACCGCAUACGAUCUAUGGAUGAAAGCGGGGGAUCGCAAGACCUCGCGCGAUUGGAGCGGCCGAUAUCAGAUUAGGUAGUUGGUGGGGUAAAGACUCACCAAGCCGACGAUCUGUAGCUGGUCUGAGAGGACGACCAGCCAGACUGGGACUGAGACACGGACCAGAAUCCUACGGGAGGCAGCAGUGGGGAAUUUUGGACAAUGGGCGAAAGCCUGAUCCAGCCAUGCCGCGUGCAGGAUGAAGGCCUUCGGGUUGUAAACUGCUUUUGUACGGAACGAAAAGGUUUGGGCUAAUAAGCUGAGCUCAUGACGGUACCGUAAGAAUAAGCACCGGCUAACUACGUGCCAGCCGCCGCCGUAA